GGGGGGAGCGCCGGAUCUUGGGAUGUGUCCCCGGCGCCGGUGCUCCCGGGCCUGUGCUGUUGGAUUCACACUCCUGGCCGCGCAGCCUGCU
RNAcentral lists this microRNA precursor (91 nucleotides) under Canis lupus familiaris (dog). RNAcentral describes it as "mir-8799 microRNA precursor family". It matches the Rfam family "mir-8799 microRNA precursor family". RNAcentral also lists the same sequence under 1 other name. The record is from Rfam by way of RNAcentral. Lineage: Eukaryota; Metazoa; Chordata; Mammalia; Carnivora; Canidae.